CCUACGGGUGGCAGCAGUGAGGAAUAUUGGUCAAUGGACGGAAGUCUGAACCAGCCAUGCCGCGUGCAGGAAGACGGCUCUAUGAGUUGUAAACUGCUUUUGUACAGGAGUAAAGAUGGAGACGUGUCUUCAGCUGAAAGUACCGUAAGAAUAAGGAUCGGCUAACUCCGUGCCAGCAGCCGCGGUAAUACGGAGGAUCCGAGCGUUAUCCGGAUUUAUUGGGUUUAAAGGGUGCGUAGGCGGAUUGGUAAGUUAGAGGUGAAAUGGCCGGGCUCAACUCCGGAACUGCCUCUAAAACUGGCGGUCUAGAGUUGGGGAGAGGUAGGCGGAAUGUGUGGUGUAGCGGUGAAAUGCUUAGAUAUCACACAGAACACCGAUUGCGAAGGCAGCAUACC
Molecule: ribosomal RNA, 395 nt
Filed under: uncultured bacterium
Lineage: Bacteria
Description: partial 16S ribosomal RNA
Rfam family: Bacterial small subunit ribosomal RNA
Source: RNAcentral